This 363-nucleotide ribosomal RNA is filed under the name uncultured Anaerolineaceae bacterium. RNAcentral's name for it is "bacterial SSU rRNA". It matches the Rfam family "Bacterial small subunit ribosomal RNA", at positions 1002 to 1382 of the family's 1533-position model. The record is from RNAcentral. Lineage: Bacteria; Bacillati; Chloroflexota; Anaerolineae; Anaerolineales; Anaerolineaceae.
UGAAAAGGACCGACCUUCGGGGAGCUUAUACAGGUGUUGCAUGGCUGUCGUCAGCUCGUGUCGUGAGAUGUUCGGUUAAGUCCGCUAACGAGCGCAACCCUCGCCGUAUGUUACAAGUGUCAUACGGGACUGCCGGUAAAAAGCCGGAGGAAGGUGAGGAUGAUGUCAAGUCAGCAUGACCUUUAUAUCCAGGGCUACACACACGCUACAAUGGUCUGUACAAUUGGUUGCCAAGCCGCGAGGCGGAGCCAAUCCGUAAAGCAGGCCUCAGUUUAGAUUGCAGUCUGCAACUCGACUGCAUGAAGCCGGAGUUGCUAGUAACCGCAGGUCAGCAAUACUGCGGUGAAUACGUUCCCGGGUCUU